This 274-nucleotide ribosomal RNA is filed under the name uncultured bacterium. RNAcentral's name for it is "partial 16S ribosomal RNA". It matches the Rfam family "Archaeal small subunit ribosomal RNA", at positions 473 to 747 of the family's 1478-position model. The record is from RNAcentral.
AAACCAGCACCUCAAGUGGUCAGGAUGAUUAUUGGGCCUAAAGCAUCCGUAGCCUGCUUUGCCAGUUUUCGGUUAAAUCCAUACGCUUAACGUAUGGGCUGCCGGAAAUACUACAAAGCUAGGGAGUGGGAGAGGUAGACGGUACUCGGGAGGAAGUGGUAAAAUGCUUUGAUCUCUCGAUGACCACCUGUGGCGAAGGCGGUCUACCAGAACACGUCCGACGGUGAGGGAUGAAAGCUGGGGGAGCAAACCGGAUUAGAAACCCCGGUAGUCC